RNAcentral lists this long non-coding RNA (520 nucleotides) under Gopherus agassizii (Agassiz's desert tortoise). RNAcentral's name for it is "lncRNA (ENSGAGG00000012354.1)". The record is from RNAcentral. Lineage: Eukaryota; Metazoa; Chordata; Testudines; Testudinidae.
AUGGGAGGGAGCACUCCAAGGCGGUUAAAUGAUUUGGAUCAUGUGACAGGAAGGCAGCGCAGGCCAGGCCAUGGGCUCUGGACACGCCAGCGAGGAUGGGCCGGGCGUGCCAGGUGGGACAAAAGCCUGCGAAGCUGCAGCUGGACUGAGGAAGCAGCUGCCGGCAGAAGAGGAGAGGAGGAGGGAAUGGGAGCCCCCCACCACCACUACCAAGACCAGAGAAGGGCAUGAGAUGGUUUGAGCUUGGUGAGGAGAAGGUCAGGCUUGCAGAAUGCUGGAGUGAUGCGGCUAAAGCUGACCCCUCUGGAGGGGGCAAAGACCCAGCAGGGUGGGUGGGGAGAGGAGGGAAGGCCAUUUUCCUUUCCCAUGUUAUUAGAGCUGGGUGAAGAACAGACUUUUUUGGUUCACUGGCGGUAGUUCUGAAAAACUGGGGAAAAAACUGUUGGGUUUCAGUUUCCUUUUGAUUUUGAACAUUGACUCGCGCGUCUCAUUCUUCCAAAUAAAAUUCAAGGCCAUUUCA